UACGGAGGAUCCAAGCGUUAUCCGGAUUUAUUGGGUUUAAAGGGUGCGUAGGCGGAUUGAUAAGUUAGAGGUGAAAUGUCCGAGCUCAACUCGGGAACUGCCUCUAAUACUGUUGAUCUAGAGAGUAGAUGCGGUAGGCGGAAUGUAUGGUGAAGCGGUGAAAUGCUUAGAGGUCAUACAGAACACCGAUUGCGAAGGCAGCUUACCAAUCUAUAUCUGACGUUGAGGCACGAAAGCGUGGGGAGCAAACAGG
RNAcentral lists this ribosomal RNA (253 nucleotides) under uncultured bacterium. RNAcentral describes it as "partial 16S ribosomal RNA". It matches the Rfam family "Bacterial small subunit ribosomal RNA", at positions 524 to 776 of the family's 1533-position model. The record is from RNAcentral.